This 253-nucleotide ribosomal RNA is filed under the name uncultured bacterium. Its description in RNAcentral is "partial 16S ribosomal RNA". It matches the Rfam family "Bacterial small subunit ribosomal RNA", at positions 524 to 776 of the family's 1533-position model. The record is from RNAcentral.
UACGAAGGGUGCAAGCGUUAAUCGGAAUUACUGGGCGUAAAGCGCGCGUAGGUGGUUCAGUAAGUUGGAAGUGAAAUCCCCGGGCUCAACCUGGGAACUGCUUUCAAAACUGCUGAGCUAGAGUACGGUAGAGGGUGGUGGAAUUUCCUGUGUAGUGGUGAAAUGCGUAGAUAUAGGAAGGAACACCAGUGGCGAAGGCGACCACCUGGACUGAUACUGACACUGAGGUGCGAAAGCGUGGGGAGCAAACAGG